AUUGGAACACAAUUGGACCCUCAUCCAUCCCAGCUAAUGAGUCUACAACAGUAGAGAAUUCCAGAGUUGGACCCUCAGCCACCCCAGCUAAUGAUUCUAAUUCAGUAGGUAUGUGUUACAGAUACACAGCAUCAUGUGUUAGAGAUACACACUGUAACACAAACAUUUUUUCAUUUGCUCCUUAGUCUGAAAUACUGUAUAUGAAAUAUCCAUAUUAUAUCCUUAUAUAUCCUUUUUUUUGCACAGAGAAUUCCACAGUUGAUCCUUUACGCAUCCCAG
Molecule: long non-coding RNA, 279 nt
Filed under: Astyanax mexicanus (Mexican tetra)
Lineage: Eukaryota; Metazoa; Chordata; Actinopteri; Characiformes; Acestrorhamphidae
Description: lncRNA (ENSAMXG00005017907.1)
Source: RNAcentral